GGAGGGUAAAAGGUGUCCCUUAAUACACUGACUUCUAUUUCCUGGAAAAUUUCUCAUCAGUAUCAGGUGAAGUUUCCCCCUUUAUCAUAGGAUUCUUACACUCAGAAAAUGUGAACAUCCAUUAGUACACUUUCUGUGAAGCUCUUGGCACUCCGGUAGAAUGGAAC
This 167-nucleotide long non-coding RNA is filed under the name Mustela putorius furo (domestic ferret). RNAcentral's name for it is "lncRNA (ENSMPUG00000027320.1)". The record is from RNAcentral. Lineage: Eukaryota; Metazoa; Chordata; Mammalia; Carnivora; Mustelidae.